AGAGUUUGAUCCUGGCUCAGGAUGAACGCUGGCGGCGUGCUUAACACAUGCAAGUCGAACGGGGAUGCUGACGGAAGGGGUGCUUGCACUCUGGAAGUAAGGAUCUUAGUGGCGGACGGGUGAGUAACGCGUGGGUAACCUGCCCCAUACCGGGGGAUACCACCUGGAAACAGGUGCUAAUACCGCAUAAGCGCACGGGAGCGCAUGCUCCUGUGUGAAAAACUCCGGUGGUAUGGGAUGGACCCGCGUCUGAUUAGCCAGUUGGCAGGGUAACGGCCUACCAAAGCGACGAUCAGUAGCCGGCCUGAGAGGGUGGACGGCCACAUUGGGACUGAGACACGGCCCAAACUCCUACGGGAGGCAGCAGUGGGGAAUAUUGCACAAUGGGGGAAACCCUGAUGCAGCGACGCCACGUGAGUGAAGAAGUAUUUCGGUAUGUAAAGCUCUAUCAGCAGGAACGAGACAAGACGGUACCUGACUAAGAAGCCCCGGCUAACUACGUG
RNAcentral lists this ribosomal RNA (503 nucleotides) under uncultured Lachnospiraceae bacterium. Its description in RNAcentral is "bacterial SSU rRNA". It matches the Rfam family "Bacterial small subunit ribosomal RNA", at positions 8 to 507 of the family's 1533-position model. Lineage: Bacteria; Bacillati; Bacillota; Clostridia; Lachnospirales; Lachnospiraceae. The record is from RNAcentral.